This 250-nucleotide unclassified non-coding RNA is filed under the name plant metagenome. RNAcentral's name for it is "partial contains small subunit ribosomal RNA, internal transcribed spacer 1, and 5.8S ribosomal RNA". The record is from RNAcentral.
UUCUGCAGCUAAGCACGGAGACCUUGCACAGGACUAUAAACAGUGCAAGUUGGCUUUAGCCAGCAACACAAUCGAAUUGCGGGGACGUCUUAAAGCCUGUAGCCCCUCCCGUUAGUGAAAGCUAACGGUAUGGUAAGAGUCUACAGGAUGUACAAUAGACUAUCCGCAGCGAAGACCCUAAGGCGUAUGCUACGGGUAUCGUUCACAGACUAAGUGAUUGUGGGAGGGUUACCCUUCUAAGAUAUAGUCG